RNAcentral lists this ribosomal RNA (230 nucleotides) under uncultured bacterium. Its description in RNAcentral is "partial 16S ribosomal RNA". It matches the Rfam family "Bacterial small subunit ribosomal RNA", at positions 111 to 334 of the family's 1533-position model. The record is from RNAcentral.
UAACACGUAAAGAACCUGCCUCAUAGACGGGGACAACUAUUGGAAACGAUAGCUAAUACCGGAUAACAGCAUAAAUCGCAUGAUAUAUGUUUAAAAGUUGGUUUCGGUUAACACUAUGAGAUGGCUUUGCGGUGCAUUAGCUAGUUGGUGGGGUAAAAGCCUACCAAGGCGACGAUGCAUAGCCGACCUGAGAGGGUGAUCGGCCACACUGGGACUGAGACACGGCCCAG